UGGGGAAUAUUGCACAAUGGGCGCAAGCCUGAUGCAGCCAUGCCGCGUGUAUGAAGAAGGCCUUCGGGUUGUAAAGUACUCUCAGUCGGGAGGAAGGUGUCAAGGUUAAUAACCUUGGCAAUUGACGUUACCGACAGAAGAAGCACCGGCUAACUCCGUGCCAGCAGCCGCGGUAAUACGGAGGGUGCAAGCGUUAAUCGGAAUUACUGGGCGUAAAGCGCACGCAGGCGGUUGAUUGAGUCAGAUGUGAAAUCCCCGGGCUUAACCCGGGAAUUGCAUCUGAUACUGGUCAGCUAGAGUCUUGUAGAGGGGGGUAGAAUUCCAUGUGUAGCGGUGAAAUGCGUAGAGAUGUGGAGGAAUACCGGUGGCGAAGGCGGCCCCCUGGACAAAGACUGACGCUCAGGUGCGAAAGCGUGGGGAGCAAACAGG
Molecule: ribosomal RNA, 429 nt
Filed under: Chloroflexota bacterium
Lineage: Bacteria; Bacillati; Chloroflexota
Description: Chloroflexi bacterium partial 16S ribosomal RNA
Rfam family: Bacterial small subunit ribosomal RNA
Source: RNAcentral